Molecule: small RNA, 150 nt
Filed under: Paenibacillus sp.
Lineage: Bacteria; Bacillati; Bacillota; Bacilli; Caryophanales; Paenibacillaceae
Also listed under: 1 other name
Description: Guanidine-I sequence
Rfam family: Guanidine-I riboswitch aptamer
About the family: This family represents a conserved RNA structure found upstream of the ykkC and yxkD genes in Bacillus subtilis and related genes in other bacteria. The function of this family is unclear although it has been suggested that it may function to switch on efflux pumps and detoxification systems in response to harmful environmental molecules.
Source: RNAcentral
CAAACCGCUGUCUAGGGUUCCGUUAGCUGCAUAUGGGGAUUGCCUCCUCUGAUGAAUGCUAAGCCUGGUCCGAGAGACGGCAUACAGUCGAAUAUAAGUGCUGCUGGCGCGAAUCGCUGUAUAACACGGAAGGAUAAAAGCCUGGGAGAU